UACAGAGGUCUCAAGCGUUGUUCGGAUUCAUUGGGCGUAAAGGGCGCGUAGGCGGCGGGGUAAGUCGGGUGUGAAAUCUCAGGGCUCAACCCUGAAACUGCACUCGAUACUGCUCUGCUUGAGGACUGGAGAGGAGACUGGAAUUCACGGUGUAGCAGUGAAAUGCGUAGAGAUCGGGAGGAAGACCAGUGGCGAAGGCGGGUCUCUGGACAGUUCCUGACGCUGAGGCGCGAAGGCCAGGGGAGCAAACGGG
RNAcentral lists this ribosomal RNA (253 nucleotides) under uncultured bacterium. RNAcentral's name for it is "partial 16S ribosomal RNA". It matches the Rfam family "Bacterial small subunit ribosomal RNA", at positions 524 to 776 of the family's 1533-position model. The record is from RNAcentral.